GUUGUACUAAUUAAUGACUGAAGAUAGCCUAAGCAGUGAGCACGUACAAAAUAAAGAGACUAAUUAAGCACAUGUUCUGCAUAUUUUUUUUCGUUAGUAUUAACUUAAUUAAUUAGUGAUGGAAACUGAACAAUUGAAGGCUAAGUAUGCUCUAAUUCUUCGUCUGCAAGCUCAAUUACUGGAGCAAAACAGAAAAUUUAGAGGAAACACUUUUCAACCAGUACAUGAUGUGCUACCGAAUUCGUCCCUGACGGAAAGGGAAAAUGAGCUGGCAGUGGGAUUCAAGAAGUACGAAAAGGGGAAAAAUGGGCUUCCAGUUCUACAACGGAAACAAAAAGGAAAAGAAAAUCUUAGUAAGCCUUGCAAUCAGCUUUUCUGUUGCAUGAUGAAAAAAUGGCAUAGUUAUUAUAUCUGUCCCAUCGAACAAGACUUGGAGGAAUUAUCCAGAAUGUCACUAGGUAUUUGUUCAGUAAGCUACUAUUGAGACUGGUCCAUUAGAGAAAUGUUAGCUGAAUUAGAGAAAUUCUUCAAAGGACUGGAUAUCUGUGGAGGCUACUGCUUGUGUGUGAAGAGUGGAAAGUUCCUGAAACAUUUUCAAAGUAAUGUUCCCGAUGGAAAAUCUAUCAAGGUAACUUAGUUGUAAUGCAAAACUUACAAAUAAACAAAAUAAAUGUCAGGUUAUGAUCUA
RNA transcript from Daphnia magna, 688 nucleotides. RefSeq lists it as uncharacterized. NCBI's taxonomy places the organism in Eukaryota, Metazoa, Arthropoda, Branchiopoda, Diplostraca, Daphniidae. The transcript has 4 exons. The record is from RefSeq and is a predicted model, not a curated record.